CUGUUUAACAAGCUGUCCGCCCUUGCUGGUUUCUUCAUUUUCUCACGUUUUGUUUAAUUAAAAAACUGAGGCUGGGGCUACAGAUCAGUGGCUAGCCCUUGCCUAUCAUGCCCUAGAUUUAUACUCCACAGAGAAAAAACAAAAUUCUAAAUUCACCAUUACAGCACACAUUGACAGCAAAGCAAUCAGAAGAAAGCAGGCACACCUGUCACCUAUGCUGACCCUGAGAGCGCCACAUCUGGGUCCUCAGACAAAGAACACCUGCAGAUUCCACCCUUGAUGCAGUUCUGGUCCUGAACCCAAUAAAAAGGAGAAGAGGAGCUGAGCACCGACACUCAUCUCUCUCUGCUUCCUGACUGUGGAUGCCUCAACCUGUUGAUUCCCCACCAUGAUGGACUGUAGCCUUGAACUGCGAGCCAAAGUGAACCCUAUCUCCCUAUGGAUAGUCUGGGGUCAUCCUCCUGCCCAGCCACUUCCUUCCUCCUUUCCAAUUCAGAAGCCAUCAUCCUCUGGACAGCGAACAUCCUGUAUCCAUGGAGAUUGGGUCCUGGAAUCACCUGCAACCCUGCUGAAGUUCUGUGUCAAGGCCAAGCAGCCAUGUGUUAUAUGAGCCACACUCUCCACUUAGAGAAAGCCGAGCAUCUGAGAAGUUACUGGCAAAUGAGAUGGAAAAUGCCCAAGAGUUUCUUACUCCUUUCCAAAGAAAACAAACCUGCUGGAGACUGCACAAACAGAAAAUACUGGUCCUGCAUUGUGUAAAUUAUAUCUGCUUAAUGAUUCCUUCUAUGAACUAUUAAAGUUCUAAUAGUGUGUGCAUUUAGAUCUCCAUCAUUUAUUUUGACCCCCAUAGUGCUGAGCAAGUGCUAUGUCGCUGAACCACCC
Molecule: non-coding RNA, 882 nt
Organism: Cricetulus griseus (Chinese hamster)
Lineage: Eukaryota; Metazoa; Chordata; Mammalia; Rodentia; Cricetidae
Source: RefSeq, a predicted model, not a curated record